RNAcentral lists this transfer RNA (77 nucleotides) under Paramesorhizobium salinisoli. Its description in RNAcentral is "Phyllobacterium salinisoli tRNA-Arg". It matches the Rfam family "tRNA". From Rfam's summary of the family: Transfer RNA (tRNA) molecules are approximately 80 nucleotides in length. Lineage: Bacteria; Pseudomonadati; Pseudomonadota; Alphaproteobacteria; Hyphomicrobiales; Phyllobacteriaceae. The record is from RNAcentral.
GGUCCCGUAGCUCAGUUGGAUAGAGCACCGGCCUUCUAAGCCGAUGGUCACUGGUUCGAAUCCAGUCGGGAUCGCCA